GGGUUGUGAGGUUAAGCGACUAAGCGUACACGGUGGAUGCCCUGGCAGUCAGAGGCGAUGAAGGGCGUGCUAAUCUGCGAUAAGCGCCGGUAAGGUGAUAUGAACCGUUAUAACCGGCGAUACCCGAAUGGGGAAACCCAGUGUGACUCGUCACACUAUCAUUAACUGAAUCCAUAGGUUAAUGAGGCGAACCGGGGGAACUGAAACAUCUAAGUACCCCGAGGAAAAGAAAUCAACCGAGAUUCCCCCAGUAGCGGCGAGCGAACGGGGAGGAGCCCAGAGCCUGAAUCAGCAUGUGUGUUAGUGGAAGCGUCUGGAAAGGCGCGCGAUACAGGGUGACAGCCCCGUACACAAAAGCGCAUGUGUUGUGAGCUCGAUGAGUAGGGCGGGACACGUGGUAUCCUGUCUGAAUAUGGGGGGACCAUCCUCCAAGGCUAAAUACUCCUGACUGACCGAUAGUGAACCAGUACCGUGAGGGAAAGGCGAAAAGAACCCCGGCGAGGGGAGUGAAAAAGAACCUGAAACCGUGUACGUACAAGCAGUGGGAGCACCCUUCGGGGUGUGACUGCGUACCUUUUGUAUAAUGGGUCAGCGACUUAUAUUCUGUAGCAAGGUUAACCGAAUAGGGGAGCCGGAGGGAAACCGAGUCUUAAUUGGGCGUUAAGUUGCAGGGUAUAGACCCGAAACCCGGUGAUCUAGCCAUGGGCAGGUUGAAGGUUGGGUAACACUAACUGGAGGACCGAACCGACUAAUGUUGAAAAAUUAGCGGAUGACCUGUGGCUGGGGGUGAAAGGCCAAUCAAACCGGGAGAUAGCUGGUUCUCCCCGAAAGCUAUUUAGGUAGCGCCUCGUGAAUUCAUCUCCGGGGGUAGAGCACUGUUUCGGCUAGGGGGCCAUCCCGGCUUACCAACCCGAUGCAAACUGCGAAUACCGGAGAAUGCUAUCACGGGAGACACACGGCGGGUGCUAACGUCCGUCGUGAAGAGGGAAACAACCCAGACCGCCAGCUAAGGUCCCAAAGUCAUGGUUAAGUGGGAAACGAUGUGGGAAGGCCCAGACAGCCAGGAUGUUGGCUUAGAAGCAGCCAUCAUUUAAAGAAAGCGUAAUAGCUCACUGGUCGAGUCGGCCUGCGCGGAAGAUGUAACGGGGCUAAACCAUGCACCGAAGCUGCGGCAGCGAACGUAUCACCCAAGACAACUUUACGGAGUUGACGAUUGACGGAGCGAAGCGACGUCAAAGCGUUCAUUAAAGUCGAGUUGGCUUAGGGAUACGUUCGUUGGGUAGGGGAGCGUUCUGUAAGCCGUUGAAGGUGGCCUGUGAGGG
RNAcentral lists this ribosomal RNA (1322 nucleotides) under Salmonella enterica. RNAcentral describes it as "partial 23S ribosomal RNA". It matches the Rfam family "Bacterial large subunit ribosomal RNA", at positions 1 to 1269 of the family's 2925-position model. The record is from RNAcentral. Lineage: Bacteria; Pseudomonadati; Pseudomonadota; Gammaproteobacteria; Enterobacterales; Enterobacteriaceae.